Molecule: long non-coding RNA, 352 nt
Filed under: Ananas comosus (pineapple)
Lineage: Eukaryota; Viridiplantae; Streptophyta; Magnoliopsida; Poales; Bromeliaceae
Description: long non-coding RNA (ACOM_LNC038415)
Source: RNAcentral
AAAACCCACGGGACCAACACGCGAAAAAAUAAUUCACUAAGAGAAAAGAUUACAAGGUGAUUACCAACUCCACGGACUCUACCUCUCUUAACCUCCUAUGAAUCUUCGCGCUACCCUCCGGGUUGUCCACGCCCUCACGUCCGAAUCCACGAACGCCUCCACUUCGAAUCCACGAAGCUUCAAUCACGCCGAAUCCACGACGCCACUCGAAUCCACGAGCCCACGAUCCGAAUCCACGAACCGCCGUCAAAUACGCCGAAUCCACGACGCCACCAUGAAGAAUAUCAUGAAUAUGGUGAUCCUUCGCUUUGGAGUGUUGUAGAAAACCAAGGAAUAGAACUCCAAGCAAAGC